This 407-nucleotide ribosomal RNA is filed under the name uncultured bacterium. RNAcentral describes it as "partial 16S ribosomal RNA". It matches the Rfam family "Bacterial small subunit ribosomal RNA", at positions 30 to 526 of the family's 1533-position model. The record is from RNAcentral.
AUUGAACGCUGGCGGCAGGCCUAACACAUGCAAGUCGAGCGGAGCGGCGGACGGGUGAGUAAUGCCUAGGAAUCUGACUGGUAGUGGGGGAUAACGUCCGGAAACGGGAGCUAAUACAGCAUACUAGUAGAUGAGCUUAGGUCGGAUAAGACAGUUGGUGGGUUAAAGGCAUACCAAGGCGACGAUCCGUAACUGGUCUGAGAGGAUGUGCAGUAACACUGGAAUUGAGAAACGGUCCAGACUCCUACGGGAGGCAGCAGUGGGUAAUAUUGGACAAUGGGCGAAAGCCUGAUCCAGACAUGCCGCGUGUGUGAAGAAGGUCUUCGGAUUGUAAAGCACUUUAAGUUGGGAGGCGUUACCAACAGAAUAAGCACCGGCUAACUUCGUGCCAGCAGCCGCGGUAAUAC